GCAAGUCGAACGAGAAAGCAACUUCGGUUGUGAUUAAAGUGGCGAACGGGUGAGUAACGCGUAGGUAAUCUGCCCUAAAGUCGGGGAUAAACACUGGAAACGGUGCCUAAUACCGGAUGUGAACUUCUACUACAUGGUGGAAAGUUUAAAGUAUUUUUAUGCUUUAGGAUGAGCCUGCGUCGCAUUAGCUAGUUGGUAAGGUAAAGGCUUACCAAGGCGACGAUGCGUAGCGGAUUUGAGAGAGUGAUC
RNAcentral lists this ribosomal RNA (249 nucleotides) under uncultured bacterium. RNAcentral describes it as "partial 16S ribosomal RNA". It matches the Rfam family "Bacterial small subunit ribosomal RNA", at positions 57 to 305 of the family's 1533-position model. The record is from RNAcentral.